UCGCCCUUUUCCGGUUGAUCCUGCCGGACCCGACUGCUAUCGGAUUGAGAUUUAGCCAUGCGAGUUGAACGUCCCUUGAUUGCAGGGGGCGUAGCAUACGGCUCAGUAACACGUAGUCAACCUGCCCUGGAGACGCGGAUAACCCCGGGAAACUGGGACCAAUCCGUGAUAGGUCGCCCCAUCUGGAAGGAGGGGCGGCCCAAAGGGGAAUUGUGGGCUUCCACUUUUCUCGCUCUAGGAUGGGACUGCGGCCGAUCAGGCUGUUGGCGGGGUAAUGGCCCACCAAACCUGUAACCGGUACGGGCCUUGAGAGAGGUGGCCCGGAGAUGGACACUGAGACAAGGGUCCAGGUCCUACGGGGCGCAGCAGGCGCGAAACCUUCGCAAUGUGCGAAAGCAUGACGAGGUUAAUCCGAGUGGCUUCCGCUGAGGAAGUCUUUUGCCGACUGUAAAAAGGUCGGAGAAUAAGGGGAGGGCAAGUCUGGUGUCAGCCGCCGCGGUAAUACCAGCUCCUCGAGUGGUCGGGGCGAUUAUUGGGCCUAAAGCAUCCGUAGCCGGUUCCGUAGGUCUCCUGCAAAAUCCAGUCGCUCAACGAUUGGCCCGCAGGAGAUACCGCGGGACUAGGAGGCGGGAGAGGUGGACGGUACUCCACGUGUAGGGGUAAAAUCCUUUGAUCCGUGGAAGACCACCAGUGGCGAAGGCGGUCCACCAGAACGCGCUCGACGGUGAGGGAUGAAAGCUGGGGGAGCGAACCGGAUUAGAUACCCGGGUAGUCCCAGCCGUAAACGAUGCUAGCUAGAUGAUCCGAUCGUAAAUCAUGAUCGGAGUGUCGCAGGGAAGCCGUUAAGCUAGCCGCCUGGGGAGUACGGUCGCAAGACUGAAACUUAAAGGAAUUGGCGGGGGAGCACCACAAGGGGUGAAGCCUGCGGUUCAAUUGGAGUCAACGCCAGGAAACUUACCAGGAGAGACAGCAGAUUGAGGGUCAGACUGAAGAUCUUACCUGACGAGCUGAGAGGAGGUGCAUGGCCGUCGCCAGCUCGUGCCGUGAGGCGUCCUGUUAAGUCAGGCAACGAGCGAGACCCAAAGGGCGAGGGCGAA
Molecule: ribosomal RNA, 1097 nt
Filed under: uncultured Nitrososphaerota archaeon
Lineage: Archaea; Thermoproteati; Nitrososphaerota
Description: bacterial SSU rRNA
Rfam family: Archaeal small subunit ribosomal RNA
Source: RNAcentral